RNAcentral lists this long non-coding RNA (392 nucleotides) under Rosa chinensis. RNAcentral describes it as "sRNA RchiOBHm_Chr4g0407621". Lineage: Eukaryota; Viridiplantae; Streptophyta; Magnoliopsida; Rosales; Rosaceae. The record is from RNAcentral.
AUGCUGGUUGUGGUUCUAAGAGUGUUGAGAGGUUGAAGAAGUAUAUUGGGUUUGGAAUGUCAAAGAGAAAUUUGGAAUUUUUGGAUGUUUUAAAUGUUUUAGUUGAUGAAUCUUUUGACUUAAUCUCUUGGUAAUUUAUUGUCAAUGUUAUUGUGGGAUUGGUCUAUAUUGUUGAGGAAUUUUGGUGUUGAAAUUGUGGUUUGGAAAAGAAAAUUUAGAGAGAAUUUGAGAUUGUUAGAGUUGAAAUUGUGAUUUUUGCAAAGGAGAAAAAUUAAGAAAGAAUGUGGAAUUGUUGGAAAAGGAUUUAUAUUAUAAAUUGGUGGUAAAUUGUGUUGAAGGAAGUGAAUUAAAAAUUUGUUAAGUUAUCGAACGGUCUUUGUGAAGGUUUAGAU